UUGUUUCUAGAACGGUCUGAGGUAGAGGGGUUUUAGUCAGUAGGUCCGAGGACUUCUUCCUCAGAAAUCCGACACCACCCAGUCGUUCGGACGGUUGGGUGUCUUUUGAAGAUUUCCCCUCUUCCACGA
Non-coding RNA from Agrilus planipennis (emerald ash borer), 129 nucleotides. The record is from Rfam. NCBI's taxonomy places the organism in Eukaryota, Metazoa, Arthropoda, Insecta, Coleoptera, Buprestidae.